Molecule: ribosomal RNA, 377 nt
Filed under: uncultured bacterium
Lineage: Bacteria
Description: bacterial SSU rRNA
Rfam family: Bacterial small subunit ribosomal RNA
Source: RNAcentral
AUACGAAGGGUGCAAGCGUUACUCGGAAUUACUGGGCGUAAAGCGUGCGUAGGUGGUUCGUUAAGUCUGAUGUGAAAGCCCCGGGCUCAACCUGGGAAUUGCAUUGGAUACUGGCGGGCUAGAGUACGGUAGAGGGUGGCGGAAUUCCUGGUGUAGCAGUGAAAUGCGUAGAGAUCAGGAGGAACAUCCGUGGCGAAGGCGGCCACCUGGACCAGUACUGACACUGAGGCACGAAAGCGUGGGGAGCAAACAGGAUUAGAUACCCUGGUAGUCCACGCCCUAAACGAUGCGAACUGGAUGUUGGGGGCAAUCAGGCCUUCAGUAUCGAAGCUAACGCGUUAAGUGCGCCGCCUGGGGAGUACGGUCGCAAGACUGAA